This 44-nucleotide ribosomal RNA is filed under the name Podosphaera xanthii. Its description in RNAcentral is "partial 28S ribosomal RNA". The record is from RNAcentral. Lineage: Eukaryota; Fungi; Ascomycota; Leotiomycetes; Helotiales; Erysiphaceae.
CGGAUCAGGUAGGGAUACCCGCUGAACUUAAACAUAUCAAAUCG